CCUACGGGUGGCAGCAGUGGGGAAUAUUGGGCAAUGGGCGCAAGCCUGACCCAGCAACGCCGCGUGAAGGAAGAAGGCCCUCGGGUUGUAAACUUCUUUUAUUAGGGACGAAACAAGUGACGGUACCUAAUGAAUAAGCCACGGCUAACUACGUGCCAGUAGCCGCGGUAAUACGUAGGUGGCAAGCGUUAUCCGGAUUUACUGGGUGUAAAGGGCGUGUAGGCGGGAGAGCAAGUCAGACGUGAAAUUCCUGGGCUCAACCCUUGAACUGCGUUUGAAACUGUUUUUCUUGAGUGCUGGAGAGGCAGGCGGAAUUCCGUGUGUAGCGGUGAAAUGCGUAGAUAUAAGGAGGAACACCAGUGGCGAAGGCGGCCUGCUGGACAUUAACUGACGCUGAGGCGCGAAAGCGUGGGGAGCAAACAGGAUUAGAUACCCUAGUAGUC
This 443-nucleotide ribosomal RNA is filed under the name uncultured bacterium. Its description in RNAcentral is "partial 16S ribosomal RNA". It matches the Rfam family "Bacterial small subunit ribosomal RNA", at positions 338 to 795 of the family's 1533-position model. The record is from RNAcentral.